RNAcentral lists this ribosomal RNA (504 nucleotides) under uncultured bacterium. RNAcentral describes it as "partial 16S ribosomal RNA". It matches the Rfam family "Bacterial small subunit ribosomal RNA", at positions 29 to 523 of the family's 1533-position model. The record is from RNAcentral.
AACGAACGCUGGCGGCAUGCCUAACACAUGCAAGUCGAACGGUAGCACAGAGAGCUUGCUCUCGGGUGACGAGUGGCGGACGGGUGAGUAAUGUCUGGGGAUCUGCCCGAUAGAGGGGGAUAACCACUGGAAACGGUGGCUAAUACCGCAUAACGUCGCAAGACCAAAGAGGGGGACCUUCGGGCCUCUCACUAUCGGAUGAACCCAGAUGGGAUUAGCUAGUAGGCGGGGUAACGGCCCACCUAGGCGACGAUCCCUAGCUGGUCUGAGAGGAUGACCAGCCACACUGGAACUGAGACACGGUCCAGACUCCUACGGGAGGCAGCAGUGGGGAAUAUUGCACAAUGGGCGCAAGCCUGAUGCAGCCACGCCGCGUGUAUGAAGAAGGCCUUCGGGUUGUAAAGUACUUUCAGCGGGGAGGAAGGCGAUGUGGUUAAUAACCGCAUUGAUUGACGUUACCCGCAGAAGAAGCACCGGCUAACUCCGUGCCAGCCGCCGCCGUAA